CGCGUAGGCGGUGGGGUAAGCGUGUGGUGAAAGUCCGGGGCUCAACCCCGGAUCGGCCGUGCGAACUGCUUCACUUGAGCACUGUAGAGGCAGGUGGAAUUCCGGGUGUAGCGGUGGAAUGCGUAGAGAUCCGGAAGAACACCGGUGGCGAAGGCGGCCUGCUGGGCAGUGGCUGACGCUGAGGCGCGACAGCGUGGGGAGCAAACA
This 207-nucleotide ribosomal RNA is filed under the name uncultured Gemmatimonas sp. Its description in RNAcentral is "partial 16S ribosomal RNA". It matches the Rfam family "Bacterial small subunit ribosomal RNA", at positions 568 to 774 of the family's 1533-position model. The record is from RNAcentral. Lineage: Bacteria; Pseudomonadati; Gemmatimonadota; Gemmatimonadia; Gemmatimonadales; Gemmatimonadaceae.